The submitters of this non-coding RNA (63 nucleotides) gave its source as unclassified sequences. The record is from Rfam.
AAACGUUCAACUCGCUACAUUGCGAGCCGCAUUUCGAUUUAAGCCAAGGAACGGGGACUUAAA